AUUGAACGCUGGCGGCAUGCCUUACACAUGCAAGUCGAACGGCAGCACAGUAAGUUCCUGCUCUUACCGGGUGCGAGUCGCGGGCGGGAGAGGAAGACACCGGACCUUACGUUUUCGUGGGGGCGGAGGAAGGGAGACUUACGCUAAUACCGCUUACGAGCUACGAGUGAAAGCACUUGAGCUUUGGCCCUUUCGCGUUUGAAUGAGCCGAUGUCGGAUUAGCUAGUUGGCGGGGUAAAGGCCCACCAAGGCGACGAUCAGUAGCUGGUCUGAGAGGAUGAUCAGCCACACUGGAACUGAGACACGGUCCGGACUCCUACGGGAGGCAGCAGUGGGGAAUAUUGGACAAUGGGCGCAAGCCUGAUCCAGCAAUACCGCGUGUGUGAAGAAGGCCUUCGGGUUGUAAAGCCCUUUUGUUGGGAAAGAAAAGCAGCAGGCUAAUACCCCGGUGUUAUGACGGUACCCAAAGAAUAAGCACCGGCUAACUUCGUG
RNAcentral lists this ribosomal RNA (492 nucleotides) under uncultured bacterium. RNAcentral's name for it is "partial 16S ribosomal RNA". It matches the Rfam family "Bacterial small subunit ribosomal RNA", at positions 30 to 507 of the family's 1533-position model. The record is from RNAcentral.